Molecule: ribosomal RNA, 253 nt
Filed under: uncultured bacterium
Lineage: Bacteria
Description: partial 16S ribosomal RNA
Rfam family: Bacterial small subunit ribosomal RNA
Source: RNAcentral
UACAGAGGGUGCAAGCGUUGUUCGGAAUUAUUGGGCGUAAAGGGCGCGUAGGCGGUGCGGUAAGUCUGUAGUGAAAUCUCUGGGCUCAACUCAGAGUCUGCUGCAGAAACUGCCGUGCUUGAGUAUGGGAGAGGGAUGUAGAAUUCCAGGUGUAGCGGUGAAAUGCGUAGAUAUCUGGAGGAAUACCGGUGGCGAAGGCGGCAUCCUGGACCAUUACUGACGCUGAAUCGCGAAAGCUAGGGGAGCAAACGGG